ACCCUUUCCUGACAGAGGAGACACCAUGAUCACGAAGGUGGUUUUCCCAGGGUGAGGCUCAUCCAUUGCACACUGGAUGUGCUGACCCCUGCGAUUUCCCCAAAUGCGGGAAACUCAACUGCAUUAUUUCCCACAAAAUCCUGUGGUAGGAUCUUACCACAGU
Small nuclear RNA from Anolis carolinensis (green anole), 163 nucleotides. Its record names the gene U1. It matches the Rfam family "U1 spliceosomal RNA". From Rfam's summary of the family: U1 is a small nuclear RNA (snRNA) component of the spliceosome (involved in pre-mRNA splicing). Its 5' end forms complementary base pairs with the 5' splice junction, thus defining the 5' donor site of an intron. There are significant differences in sequence and secondary structure between metazoan and yeast U1 snRNAs, the latter being much longer (568 nucleotides as compared to 164 nucleotides in human). The record is from Ensembl. Lineage: Eukaryota; Metazoa; Chordata; Lepidosauria; Squamata; Anolidae.